Molecule: ribosomal RNA, 390 nt
Filed under: uncultured bacterium
Lineage: Bacteria
Description: partial 16S ribosomal RNA
Rfam family: Bacterial small subunit ribosomal RNA
Source: RNAcentral
CCUACGGGAGGCAGCAGUGAGGAAUAUUGGUCAAUGGGCGCGAGCCUGAACCAGCCAAGCAGCGUGAAGGAUGACUGUCCUCCGGGUUGUAAACUCCUUUUAUAAAGGAAUACAGUGAGGCACGUGUGCCUUUUUGUAUGUACUUUAUGAAUAAGGAUCGGCUAACUCCGUGCCAGCAGCCGCGGUAAUACGGAGGAGCCGAGCGUUACCCGGAUUUGUUGGGUUUAAAGGGAGCGUAGCUGGGUUGUUAAGUCAGUUGUGAAAGUAUGCGGCUCAACGGGAAAAGUGCAAUGGAUUCGGGCAGACUUGAGUGCAGAAGAGGAAAGCGGAAUUCAAGGUGUAGCGGUGAAAUGCGUAGAUAUCACGAGGAACACCAGGGGCGAAGGCAGC